GCCGGAGUGGUGGAAUUGGCAGACACAGAGGACUUAAAAUCCUCUGGUUCGUAAGAACCGUACCGGUUCAAGUCCGGUCUCCGGCA
This 86-nucleotide transfer RNA is filed under the name subsurface metagenome. RNAcentral describes it as "tRNA-Leu". It matches the Rfam family "tRNA". Rfam says of the family: Transfer RNA (tRNA) molecules are approximately 80 nucleotides in length. The record is from RNAcentral.